CCUACGGGAGGCAGCAGUGGGGAAUAUUGGACAAUGGGGGGAACCCUGAUCCAGCGACGCCGCGUGAGUGAAGAAGUAUCUCGGUAUGUAAAGCUCUAUCAGCAGGGAAGAAAGAAAGGCCGGUACCUGACUAAGAAGCCCCGGCUAACUACGUGCCAGCAGCCGCGGUAAUACGUAGGGGGCAAGCGUUAUCCGGAUUUACUGGGGGUAAAGGGAGCGUAGACGGCUGAGCAAGUCUGAAGUGAAAGGCGGGGGCCCAACCCCCGGACUGCUUUGGAAACUGUAUAGCUAGAGUGCAGGAGAGGUAAGUGGAAUUCCUAGUGUAGCGGUGGAAUGCGUAGAUAUUAGGAGGAACACCAGUGGCGAAGGCGGCUUACUGGACUGUAACUGACGUUGAGGCUCGAAAGUGUGGGUAUCAAACAGGAUUAGAUACCCGGGUAGUC
This 443-nucleotide ribosomal RNA is filed under the name uncultured bacterium. Its description in RNAcentral is "partial 16S ribosomal RNA". It matches the Rfam family "Bacterial small subunit ribosomal RNA", at positions 338 to 795 of the family's 1533-position model. The record is from RNAcentral.